Molecule: ribosomal RNA, 500 nt
Filed under: uncultured bacterium
Lineage: Bacteria
Description: partial 16S ribosomal RNA
Rfam family: Bacterial small subunit ribosomal RNA
Source: RNAcentral
AUUGAACGCUGGCGGCAUGCCUUACACAUGCAAGUCGAACGGCAGCACGGACUUCGGUCUGGUGGCGAGUGGCGAACGGGUGAGUAAUAUAUCGGAACAUACCUUGUAGUGGGGGAUAACUAUCCGAAAGGAUAGCUAAUACCGCAUACGCUCUAAGGAGGAAAGGGGGGGAUCGCAAGACCUCAUGCUAUAAGAGUGGCCGAUAUCUGAUUAGCUAGUUGGUGAGGUCAAGGCUCACCAAGGCGACGAUCAGUAGCUGGUCUGAGAGGACGACCAGCCACACUGGAACUGAGACACGGUCCAGACUCCUACGGGAGGCAGCAGUGGGGAAUUUUGGACAAUGGGGGCAACCCUGAUCCAGCAAUGCCGCGUGAGUGAAGAAGGCCUUCGGGUUGUAAAGCUCUUUUGUCAGGGAAGAAACGGUUGUGGCUAAUAUCCAUGGCUAAUGACGGUACCUGAAGAAUAAGCACCGGCUAACUACGUGCCAGCCGCCGCAGUAA